Molecule: ribosomal RNA, 459 nt
Filed under: uncultured bacterium
Lineage: Bacteria
Description: partial 16S ribosomal RNA
Rfam family: Bacterial small subunit ribosomal RNA
Source: RNAcentral
CCUACGGGAGGCAGCAGUGAGGAAUAUUGGUCAAUGGUCGGAAGGCUGAACCAGCCAAGCCGCGUGAAGGACGAAGGUGCCAAGCAUUGUAAACUUCUUUUGUCAAGGGACAAAAUCAGGCACGAGAGCCUGACUGAGUGUACUUGAAGAAAAAGCAUCGGCUAACUCCGUGCCAGCAGCCGCGGUAAUACGGAGGAUGCGAGCGUUAUCCGGAUUUAUUGGGUUAAAAGGGUGCGUAGGCGGACUGUUAAGUCAGCGGUAAAAGCCCGGGGCUCAACCCCGGCGAGCCGUUGAAACUGGCAGUCUUGAGAUGUCGAGAGGUAUGCGGAAUGCGCGGUGUAGCGGUGAAAUGCUUAGAUAUUGCGCAGAACUCCGAUUGCGAAGGCAGCAUACCGGCGGCGAUCUGACGCUGAGGCACGAAAGCGUGGGUAUCGAACAGGAUUAGAUACCCCUGUAGUC